AUCGACUGAAUAUUAGUACAUUUUUCCAUUCAAAGAGGACGAAACAUCUUCCAAUUUCCCGUUGUGCUGGACCACAGGCUGUUUCAUAGGAUCCGGAUCAGGAGCUUAUAGUAAAAGAUUUGCAGGAGCAAACCACAGCUGUAUAAACGUUAGCUGUUCGGGAAGUGAAUUCCAAUAGUGAAGUAAUGAGAAGAGGAGCACUUCCACUUGCCCAGCGAAUCUGUCAGAUUCUUAAAGCUGCAAGUAGAAACAAAACACUACGGGCUACAGGAUCGGGUGCUGCGCGCUCAUUGGGAAUGAAACACCAGCGCUUAAUCCGGAAAUGGUGUUCGAAGAGGUUAACAAACGAAAUCAAAGCGCAACAAUUCCUCUCAGUUGGUGAAAAUAGUUUGAGUAUCUUUAUUGCCAACAUCCAACAGUGGAAAUGCCGGUUAGGUUAAGAACAAUUUUUUUCUUGUAUAUUUGGAUGUUCAUAUAUUCGUAAUAUAUUGUGAAAUAAAAGCUUUUUAGAACAACCACGAAA
Long non-coding RNA from Uranotaenia lowii, 523 nucleotides. RefSeq lists it as uncharacterized. NCBI's taxonomy places the organism in Eukaryota, Metazoa, Arthropoda, Insecta, Diptera, Culicidae. The record is from RefSeq and is a predicted model, not a curated record. The transcript has 2 exons.